Molecule: ribosomal RNA, 497 nt
Filed under: uncultured bacterium
Lineage: Bacteria
Description: partial 16S ribosomal RNA
Rfam family: Bacterial small subunit ribosomal RNA
Source: RNAcentral
GAUGAACGCUGGCGGCGUGCCUAAUACAUGCAAGUCGAGCGAACAGACGAGGCGCUUGCUCCUCUGACGUUAGCGGCGGACGGGUGAGUAACACGUGGAUAACCUACCUAUAAGACUGGGAUAACUUCGGGAACCCGGAGCUAAUACCGGAUAAUAUAUUGAACCGCAUGGUUCAAUAGUGAAAGACGGUUUUGCUGUCACUUAUAGAUGGAUCCGCGCCGCAUUAGCUAGUUGGUAAGGUAACGGCUUACCAAGGCGACGAUGCGUAGCCGACCUGAGAGGGUGAUCGGCCACACUGGAACUGAGACACGGUCCAGACUCCUACGGGAGGCAGCAGUAGGGAAUCUUCCGCAAUGGGCGAAAGCCUGACGGAGCAACGCCGCGUGAGUGAUGAAGGUCUUCGGAUCGUAAAACUCUGUUAUUAGGGAAGAACAAAUGUGUAAGUAACUAUGCACGUCUUGACGGUACCUAAUCAGAAAGCCACGGCUAACUACGUG